This 74-nucleotide transfer RNA is filed under the name Neoehrlichia mikurensis. RNAcentral describes it as "Candidatus Neoehrlichia mikurensis tRNA-Met". It matches the Rfam family "tRNA". Rfam says of the family: Transfer RNA (tRNA) molecules are approximately 80 nucleotides in length. Their secondary structure includes four short double-helical elements and three loops (D, anti-codon, and T loops). The record is from RNAcentral. Lineage: Bacteria; Pseudomonadati; Pseudomonadota; Alphaproteobacteria; Rickettsiales; Anaplasmataceae.
GGCUAGAUAGCUCAGUUGGUCAGAGUCGAAGAAUCAUAAUCUUUUGGUCGUGGGUUCGAAUCCCUCUCUAGCCA